RNAcentral lists this ribosomal RNA (497 nucleotides) under uncultured bacterium. RNAcentral's name for it is "partial 16S ribosomal RNA". It matches the Rfam family "Bacterial small subunit ribosomal RNA", at positions 28 to 507 of the family's 1533-position model. The record is from RNAcentral.
GACGAACGCUGGCGGCGUGCCUAAUACAUGCAAGUAGAACGCUGAAGAGAGGAGCUUGCUCUUCUUGGAUGAGUUGCGAACGGGUGAGUAACGCGUAGGUAACCUGCCUUGUGGCGGGGGAUAACUAUUGGAAACGAUAGCUAAUACCGCAUAACAAUGGAUGACACAUGUCAUUUAUUUGAAAGGGGCAAUUGCUCCACUACAAGAUGGACCUGCGUUGUAUUAGCUAGUAGGUGAGGUAAUGGCUCACCUAGGCGACGAUACAUAGCCGACCUGAGAGGGUGAUCGGCCACACUGGGACUGAGACACGGCCCAGACUCCUACGGGAGGCAGCAGUAGGGAAUCUUCGGCAAUGGGGGCAACCCUGACCGAGCAACGCCGCGUGAGUGAAGAAGGUUCUCGGAUCGUAAAGCUCUGUUGUAAGUCAAGAACGGGUGUGAGAGUGGAAAGUUCACACUGUGACGGUAGCUUACCAGAAAGGGACGGCUAACUACGUG